GGAUGAGGAUCCUGAGAAUACCAGGUGCAACCUGUACAAAGACAACAAUACACCCGAAUUCCAGUAACAUAAUUUUACUGAUACAUUACAUUUGACUUGUCACAACUGAUUUUACCGAAGCUCGGACGAUUGAACUUCGUACGGAAAUCGAAAAAUCUCCGCAUCAAGUUAUCAUGUACAUAUUAAAACUUAUUCCACACUAACGGAAACUUGUAUGAAAUUUCUUGAAACCAAACCCAUGUAUUUGCAAUGCAGUCGAAUUGAGCAAAAACAGCGAAACACAAUGAUUCGUGGGGAGCGAAACCUCCAUUGAACAUGAGCAUUUAUGGGCGCUUGCAUAUUCAAGCGACUUCUCAAUCAGCGUCGUAUUUGGAUCCUUUCUGGAGACGAAGAUCCAAUAUUCAGAUGACAUAAGAAGCCCUUAUACUUCCAAUGGUCCUACAUAACAAAAUUGAUCAAAAAAGUGUAUUGAGUUUAUGAAAAUAGACAAGAGAACCAGAUAAAAAUAAGCGACAGCUGAUAAAAAUAAAAUCUUGCAAUGGCAGGAUGAUGAACAGAAAAUUGAGGGACAUCUCCCAACGGACCCCUGGUUUAUAAACACUGUAAUAUUAAGUAAAUUUCUCCCACUAAAGGCCACCAUUCACCAGCUAAAACACACUAAUCCUGUCCUGCAUCGUAUACAAGAAUAUGGAGAUUAUUACAGUUAACAUAAGCGUUCACAAUGGCCUCCACGUCAACAGACAGAAGACUAGACUCAAGAGAGGACAAGCAGCAGAGAGAGACGGGACAGAAAUGAGCAUCUAAGAUAAGGACGGACGAGUUCACCUCCACCGCCACAGCUUGAUGACACGGAGGAGGACGCUGACGCCACACGACAGCACGAAUAUCCGGCAAAGGUUCUUGAGCCCUCGUUCUCGUCCCGUCCCCUCCAAGCUUGAGGCGGCCGUCGCGGCGGCGCUUCAUCUCCUCGGUCGCCUCCUGCACCCUCUGCUCCGACUACCUCCGCCCACCCUCUGCCAAGGCAGCGCCCGCGUUGGUGGAGUUUGAAGAGGACUGGUGGUGGGCCGUCUCAGGGCGAAGAAGCAUGGAAGAGACUGUGGAAGAACCCAACAAACAGGAACUCGACCGACAGACCGCCGCCGGCGAUUGAGGCUCCCGUG
RNAcentral lists this long non-coding RNA (1160 nucleotides) under Spirodela polyrhiza (greater duckweed). RNAcentral's name for it is "long non-coding RNA (SPOL_LNC001943)". The record is from RNAcentral. Lineage: Eukaryota; Viridiplantae; Streptophyta; Magnoliopsida; Alismatales; Araceae.